This is a long non-coding RNA of Cyprinus carpio carpio, 1691 nucleotides long. The record is from Ensembl. Lineage: Eukaryota; Metazoa; Chordata; Actinopteri; Cypriniformes; Cyprinidae.
UCUAAGUAAAGGUGCAAAUCUUUUUGGGCACUGGCUUCACUUACAAUUAAGUACCAUGGAUAAGGUGUUUGUUCUGUAAUCUGUUUUAAGACCACCUCAACUCUCAUACACACCUUGGAUCGGCAAACAUCCCACCUUGAGGAUGUAAGAAGAUAUUUUAGAGGUGUCUUCUCUUUAUCACCACCCGAUGGUGCAUCUCGAAGGAUGCUGCUUACCUGUUCUCUUUAUCACCACCCAACGCGUGCUCAGGUGCACGGCAGUGUCAUCCCCCAUUGCUUAGACAUGCUUGUGCGGAGUGAGAGGACAGAUUUGAAUCGAUGGCAGACGGGCCCUCUAAACCCACUCCAACUUCUGUCUUUCUCUCAGCCCACUUGGGAUCUGCAGUGUAAUACACCGCAGACUAAAUCCGGUGAUACUCCUGCAGUAUUUGAAGCAUGGGUGGCUGCAUAAUGAGCAGUCUGUGUGUCCUUUCCCUUUCCUGUCCCCUACCCUCCUCUUCCAAUAUGCAGGAAAUGGCGUCUGGCCUCUUGACAGAUAAUGUGACACACACGUGUGCGGACGGAAACUGGGGCUGUGAGCCACAAAGAGCCACAGUGGGUCCUGGCCCCUGAUAACAUCAGGGAAGGAGAAGAGAAGAGAGGUGUCUACGGGAAGUUGCCAGGUUUGGGAAGGCCUGGAGAAUCCCGGUUAUCUCCCAGAGGAGUCAGGAGAUGGAGUGUGGCCCUCCCCGGCAGCAGGCCAGGCGAUGGAGUGCUGGGACCUUUGUUUGUCAUCACCAUUUCCCCUUCAUCCUGUGUCAUGACCUUACAGAGUUCAUUUCAAACUGAGAAUUCAUUGACUGCUUCUCAAGCCUUCAGAAUAUGGAAGGAGUUGAUCAUUAGACAAGUAGACGUGACUGCUUCUUAUCAGCGAAUUUGAUUUGUGAAGGGAAAAAGGUGUGCUUUGGCUGUGGAAUGCAAAGUGACAACCACAAAUUAUCAUUACGACUGAGACAUAACAAAUAUUUCCUCUACAACUUCACUUUCAAACAAUGCUUUGUUUGGUGGGGUUGGGGUUGUAGAGAGCGAUUCUGGUCUAAUCUGAAUAUAUUUGAAUUUAUUUGGUUUGAUUAAAUGUUUCUUUUAAAUGUUACCAAUUGUGUUUGAGUCAAAAUCUUUGCGAAGCUGUUCAUAAUGUACAAAGGUAAUGGAAUAUUAAAUUAUGCCAUUAAUACAAAGGGUUACACUUUAUUUUAAGGUGUUAUGUUACAGUGUAAUUAUACAUUUAAGUACUGAGCUUACUGAGCUCAACUACAUGUACUUACUAUAGGGUUAGGGUUAGGAUGAGGGAUUGGUUUAGGAUUAGUUGCAUGCAAUUAUGCAUAAUUUACUCUUAUUAUAAUAGUAAGUACAUGUAACCUGUAACAAGGACACCGUAAAAUAAAGUUUCACCAUAUAAAGUCUAACACUUUAUUUUAAGGUGUCCUUGUUACAGUGUAAUUAUACCUUUAAGUACUGAGUAAUAUUAAUUAACUACAUGUACUUACUAUAUGGUUAGGGUUAGGAUUAGGGUUUGGUUUAGGGUUACUUGUAUGUAAUUAUGCAUAAUUAAUUGUUAUUAUAAUAGUAAGUGUAUGUAACAUGCAACAAGGAGACCUUAAAAUAACAUGUUUCCCACUUUAAAAUAAGAUUUAAUUUGUGAAUAUUAUUACA